This 393-nucleotide ribosomal RNA is filed under the name uncultured bacterium. Its description in RNAcentral is "partial 16S ribosomal RNA". It matches the Rfam family "Bacterial small subunit ribosomal RNA", at positions 523 to 918 of the family's 1533-position model. The record is from RNAcentral.
AUACGGAGGAUGCGAGCGUUAUCCGGAUUUAUUGGGUUUAAAGGGAGCGUAGGUGGACAGUUAAGUCAGUUGUGAAAGUUUGCGGCUCAACCGUAAAAUUGCAGUUGAUACUGGUUGUCUUGAGUACAGUAGAGGUGGGCGGAAUUCGUGGUGUAGCGGUGAAAUGCUUAGAUAUCCCGAAGAACUCCGAUUGCGAAGGCAGCUCACUGGACUGCAACUGACACUGAUGCUCGAAAGUGUGGGUAUCAAACAGGAUUAGAUACCCUGGUAGUCCACACAGUAAACUAUGAAUACUCGCUGUUUGCGAUAUACAGUAAGCGGCCAAGCGAAAGCAUUAAGUAUUCCACCUGGGGAGUACGCCGGCAACGGUGAAACUCAAAUGAAUUGGCGGGG